This 582-nucleotide ribosomal RNA is filed under the name uncultured Bacillota bacterium. Its description in RNAcentral is "uncultured Firmicutes bacterium partial 16S ribosomal RNA". The record is from RNAcentral. Lineage: Bacteria; Bacillati; Bacillota.
UUGGGAGCUCUCCCAUAUGGUCGACCUGCAGGCGGCCGCGAAUUCACUAGUGAUUCGUAUUACCGCGGCUGCUGGCACGUAGUUAGCAGGUCCUUAUUCAUUAGUUACCGUCAUAAUCGUCACUAUUAAAAGCAGUUUACGACCCUAAGGCAUUCAUCCUGCACGCGGCGUUGCUCCAUCAGACUUUCGUCCAUUGUGGAAAAUUCCCUACUGCUGCCUCCCGUAGGAGUCUGGGCCGUUCUCAGUCCCAGUCUGGCUGAUCAUCCUCUCAGACCAGCUAAUGGUCAUCGUCUUGGUGAGCCAUUACCUCACCAACUAACUAAUCAUGCGCAGGCCGUUCCCAAAGCGCCCGAAGGCUUUAAUCCGGAGAUCACAUGCGGUAUUAGCUACUCUUUCGAGCAGUUAUCCCUCACUUUGGGGUACGUUCCUACGUGUUACUCAGCCGUCCGCCGCUCGUGUACCCCCGAAGGGGCCUUACCGCUCGACUUGCAUGUAUUAGGCACGCCGCCAGCGUUCAUCCUGAGCCAUGAUCAAACUCUAAUCGAAUUCCCGCGGCCGCCAUGGCGGCCGGGAGCAUGCGAC